This 791-nucleotide ribosomal RNA is filed under the name Petriella sordida. Its description in RNAcentral is "partial 28S ribosomal RNA". It matches the Rfam family "Eukaryotic large subunit ribosomal RNA", at positions 93 to 911 of the family's 3401-position model. Lineage: Eukaryota; Fungi; Ascomycota; Sordariomycetes; Microascales; Microascaceae. The record is from RNAcentral.
GUGAAGCGGCAACAGCUCAAAUUUGAAAUCUGGCUGCCUGUGCAGUCCGAGUUGUAAUUUGAAGAGGAUGCUUUUGGCAAGGUGCCUUCCGAGUUCCCUGGAAUGGGACGCCAUAGAGGGUGAGAGCCCCGUAUGGUCGGUCGCCGAGCCUCUGUAAAGCUCCUUCGACGAGUCGAGUAGUUUGGGAAUGCUGCUCAAAAUGGGAGGUAAACCCCUUCUAAAGCUAAAUAUUGGCCAGAGACCGAUAGCGCACAAGUAGAGUGAUCGAAAGAUGAAAAGCACUUUGAAAAGAGAGUUAAACAGCACGUGAAAUUGUUGAAAGGGAAGCGCUUGCGACCAGACUUGUGCUCGUCGAAUCAGCCGUCGCUCGUCGGCGGCGCAUUUCGGCGGGCUCAGGCCAGCAUCAGUUCGCUGUAGGGGGAGAAAGGCGGUAGGAAUGUGGCUCUUCGGAGUGUUAUAGCCUACCGUAUAAUACCCCUCGGUGGACUGAGGACCGCGCAUCUGCAAGGAUGCUGGCGUAAUGGUUGUCAGCGACCCGUCUUGAAACACGGACCAAGGAGUCGUCCUAAUAUGCGAGUGUUCGGGUGUAAAACCCCUACGCGUAAUGAAAGUGAACGGAGGUGAGAGCUUCGGCGCAUCAUCGACCGAUCCUGAUGUUCUCGGAUGGAUUUGAGUAUGAGCAUAUUGGGCCGGACCCGAAAGAAGGUGAACUAUGCCUGUAUAGGGUAAAGCCAGAGGAAACUCUGGUGGAGGCUCGCAGCGGUUCUGACGUGCAAAUCGAUCGUCAAAUA